This 341-nucleotide ribosomal RNA is filed under the name Nematoda environmental sample. RNAcentral's name for it is "SSU rRNA". It matches the Rfam family "Eukaryotic small subunit ribosomal RNA", at positions 1300 to 1665 of the family's 1831-position model. Lineage: Eukaryota; Metazoa; Nematoda. The record is from RNAcentral.
GGUGGAGCGAUUUGUCUGGUUAAUUCCGAUAACGAACGAGACUCUAGCCUACUAAAUAGUUGUCGGAUUUUUGGUCCGACGUACUUCUUAGAGGGACAAGGGGUAUCUAGCCCCACGAGAUUGAGCAAUAACAGGUCUGUGAUGCCCUUAGAUGUCCGGGGCUGCACGCGCGCUACACUGAAGGAGUCAACAUGCAUUGAGACCUAGUCUGGAAAGACCGGGUAACCCAAUGAAACUCCUUCGUGAUUGGGAUAGGGAAUUGUAAUUAUUUCCCUUGAACGAGGAAUUCCUAGUAAAUGCGGGUCAUCAUCUCGCGUUGAAUACGUCCCUGCCCUUUGUAC